This 321-nucleotide ribosomal RNA is filed under the name uncultured Oscillospiraceae bacterium. Its description in RNAcentral is "bacterial SSU rRNA". It matches the Rfam family "Bacterial small subunit ribosomal RNA", at positions 355 to 692 of the family's 1533-position model. The record is from RNAcentral. Lineage: Bacteria; Bacillati; Bacillota; Clostridia; Eubacteriales; Oscillospiraceae.
UGGGGAAUAUUGGGCAAUGGGGCGCAAGCCUGACCCAGCAACGCCGCGUGAAGGAAGAAGGCCUUCGGGUUGUAAACUUCUUUGUACGAGGGACGAUCAUGACGGUACCUCGAAAACAAGCCACGGCUAACUACGUGCCAGCAGCCGCGGUAAUACGUAGGUGGCAAGCGUUGUCCGGAUUUACUGGGUGUAAAGGGCGUGUAGGCGGGAGACCAAGUCAGAUGUGAAAUGUAGGGGCUCAACCCCUGAGCUGCAUUUGAAACUGGUUUCUUGAGUGAUGGAGAGGCAGGCGGAAUUCCCGGUGUAGCGGUGAAAUGCGUA